ACAAAUUAUUUUCCAAACUCUAUAUACAGUCUAUAAUUCUGUACGAUCGUUUUUCGUACAGUCCGAGUUUGUAGCAUCGUAGGUCACUCUUUGGAUGUCCACGCCGAGCCACCGUUGAACCAACAACAACGAUAUAAUAAUUACUAAUAAUAAUAAUAUUAUACGUCAUAUAUUUCACACAGGAAGCAUACAAUAUUUUCUUGAAACAUCAAUCAUCCGGCGAUGGGAGG
This is a non-coding RNA of Cinara cedri, 230 nucleotides long. NCBI's taxonomy places the organism in Eukaryota, Metazoa, Arthropoda, Insecta, Hemiptera, Aphididae. The record is from the annotation of a GenBank genome assembly.